Molecule: transfer RNA, 68 nt
Filed under: Bemisia tabaci
Lineage: Eukaryota; Metazoa; Arthropoda; Insecta; Hemiptera; Aleyrodidae
Description: tRNA-Leu
Source: RNAcentral
ACUAUAUUAGCAUAUACAAUGCACUAAGCUUAGAACUUAACUAAGUAGUUAUAAUUCUACAUUUAGUA